CCUACGGGAGGCUGCAGUGGGGAAUAUUGGACAAUGGGCGAAAGCCUGAUCCAGCCAUGCCGCGUGUGUGAAGAAGGCCUUCGGGUUGUAAAGCACUUUCAGUGGGGAAGAAAGCCUUGGGGCUAAUACCCUCGAGGAAGGACAUCACCCACAGAAGAAGCACCGGCUAACUCCGUGCCAGCAGCCGCGGUAAUACGGAGGGUGCGAGCGUUAAUCGGAAUUACUGGGCGUAAAGCGCGCGUAGGCGGUCUGAUAAGCCGGUUGUGAAAGCCCCGGGCUCAACCUGGGAACGGCAUCCGGAACUGACAGGCUAGAGUGCAGGAGAGGAAGGUAGAAUUCCCGGUGUAGCGGUGAAAUGCGUAGAGAUCGGGAGGAAUACCAGUGGCGAAGGCGGCCUUCUGGACUGACACUGACGCUGAGGUGCGAAAGCGUGGGUAGCAAACAGGAUUAGAUACCCCAGUAGUC
RNAcentral lists this ribosomal RNA (465 nucleotides) under Vreelandella stevensii. Its description in RNAcentral is "partial 16S ribosomal RNA". It matches the Rfam family "Bacterial small subunit ribosomal RNA", at positions 338 to 795 of the family's 1533-position model. The record is from RNAcentral. Lineage: Bacteria; Pseudomonadati; Pseudomonadota; Gammaproteobacteria; Oceanospirillales; Halomonadaceae.